This is a long non-coding RNA of Dromiciops gliroides (monito del monte), 368 nucleotides long. RefSeq lists it as uncharacterized. NCBI's taxonomy places the organism in Eukaryota, Metazoa, Chordata, Mammalia, Microbiotheria, Microbiotheriidae. The transcript is spliced from 3 exons. The record is from RefSeq and is a predicted model, not a curated record.
CUUCCGGGCUGGGUGUUUGUUGGACUGGGGAAGGGAGGCGGCGGGUGAAGCGCACGUAGAGCGGGGGGAGCGGCGCUGCCUGUGGAGAUCCGCUGAGGCCGACAGGACUCGCUGGCUGCCGUCCCCGCUGCCGUGCACUGGGUUACAAAAACAACUAACAUACAACCAUGAAAGAUCCAAGUCGCAGCAGUACUAGCCCAAGCAUCAUCAAUGAAGAUGUGAUUAUUAAUGGUCCAUUCUCAUGAAGAUGAUAAUCCAUUUGCUGAGAUACAUGUGGAUGGAAAAUGAAGAGGAAUUCAACAGACAGAUUGAAGAGGAGUUGUGGGUAAGAAGAAUUCAUUGAAAGCUGUUUCCAAGAAAUGCUGGAA